Molecule: non-coding RNA, 994 nt
Organism: Triticum urartu
Lineage: Eukaryota; Viridiplantae; Streptophyta; Magnoliopsida; Poales; Poaceae
Source: RefSeq, a predicted model, not a curated record
CAAUGAUUUGUAGAGUGUCCAAUGGAGGUUCUUCCAUUUACCAAUUUGUGAUCCCAGCCUUUUCUUUCCUGAUUAAAAAGAAAAACAUCUUCUAAUUGCCUUUUCUGAACUUAUCUUUGAGAUAACUUGCAUCCAACAGUUAACUGCUCCAAGAUUAGGCAAUCAAAACUGAAUUUAUGACUAUGCAUGUAUGAAAAACUGUUAAUAUCUGCAGUUUGACUAAUCUCUGGAUCGGCUGCAGCUUGGAGAUGAGAUUCUUUGUCUUUGGAGAUGGUUAUACGUUUUAUAGGUUAUAUUCUCCAGGAAGCGAUGUUGUCUGGGUGUUGCGGAUGAAAGAAGACUUGGACAUGGGCGUGUUGAGAUUAAUCCAUGUGUGUAUCUUCUACGAGCUGCAGAAGGUCAGGUCUUGCAGUCAACUAUUCAGAUUAUUGACUGAGGGCGAUAUUUUUAGGCCUACGGAAUCUGCAAAGGAUGUGCCAAACCAAGAUUAAUUAUGAUUUUUGUAAAUUGCAUGGGUUUACUUAUUUACCUGCUCCUUUGAUGAUUUUGAUUCAUUUGUGGAAAUUUGAGAGCUUUCUUCGAAUGUCCGGAAAAAUGGUUCAAGGCUUGUUUGGCUGAAACUGUAGAUUAGCAAGACUAACGUGUGUUGAGCAUGUCAGCCUAUGUGUGGGUAGGAGUGAAACUGUAGAUUAUGCUAGAGACGAGUUUCUAAAAGAAGUCCUGGAGACGAUGGCGCUGCUGCUGCUGCUCCUCUUGCAAUGGGCAAACUGGGGGCUGCAGUUCUAGGACUUCAAGGAGGAAAGGAAGACAUGGUUACUUCUUAAAGAGGCUUUCAUCUAAAGAGAAGCACAUCGAUGAAGAAAAACGAUGUGGUCAAAGGCAAUCUGUUUCAGAAGCAUUGAGCAGUCGCAUGACAAGUACAAGGAACAUCAUCAGUACAGCAGGGAGGUUGAAACAAGAAGUUGAGGUGAUCAAUCAAGACAAUAAAUUGUAG